Molecule: long non-coding RNA, 2875 nt
Organism: Aegilops tauschii subsp. strangulata
Lineage: Eukaryota; Viridiplantae; Streptophyta; Magnoliopsida; Poales; Poaceae
Source: RefSeq, a predicted model, not a curated record
AAUAUUGGUGACUCUUAGCAUCGUUCAAUCAUUUCCAGUUGGAUGGACACUUGAUGACUACUGGGAGUUGGUAUUUCCUUUUUCUAGAAAGCCUGAUAGUUCCAUUUUCGAAGCAGGGGUUGCUAUUACUGUUUGCUAAAAACUGUAAAAGAAAACGUUGCGGCAAGAAUGAUGAAAUUCCCAUGCUUUUAUGUCAUAUGGAUGACUACUGGGAGUCUUUUUCUAGAAAGCCUGGUAGUUCCAUUUUCGGGACAGUGGUUGCUAUUACUGUUUGCUAACAACUGUAAAAAACGUUGUGGCAAUAAUGAUGAAAAUUCCCAUGCUUUUCUGUCAUAUGGUGAAGUUCACGACACUGUAUGGGUUACUGAAUUAAAGGAGGUGAAUAAAAUGGGAUUACCUGUAUUGUGUCACCAAAGGCUGAGGGACCUCAAAUACAUUAUUUGCUUAAUUGCAAGCCAACCAGUAGGAAGCAAGGUUCCAAAUAAAAAAAAGAGGGAUAGCAAUCCCUGAACUGAUUAGCCUGGCAAGAUUUAUGUUGACAUCACAAAUGGAGAACUCGAGUACUUAAUUAGUUUUACAUCAGAAGGAACCUCUUGUUACAUUUUCUGUUGUCUUCUGCAAAAUACUGGAAUUAGUCGUCUGCUUUUAAAUCAUUAUCACUAUUAUUGCUUGGCUUUGCAAAUCAUUAGCAAGUCAACACAUAUGUUUCUCCUUUGGUCUUCCUAACACUAGUGAUAUGGAGGUGCUCCUACAUCCUCACUUUUUGGGGUCUGUUCAUUUGACCACAAGUUCACAACUCCCUGUUGAGGCGUAUCAAAUUAGUAAUAUACUAAUAUGGUGCAUAUUUGAUGUAUCGAUGGUGCUUGUGUGGUGAUGGUGUAUCCUGUUCUUGUGCAGGUGUAUUGUCAAUGAAAUGAACCUGCAGAAGCUAAUUGCUUACUAAGUGAUAAAUUGCGGUAUCCUGAUUUCAGGUAACUAUAUGGCAAAACAAACUACAACAGAUUUUAGUUUGAAUAAGAGCCUAUAUUACUUUACAUCUUUAUUAGUUGCAGAUUGUGAAUGCUUUGUUUUUGUGAUAUAUUUCAUUGUUUCUUACCUUAAAGGCCUCUCUGAUUGAAAGCAUUUUUGUAGGAUUUCAAUCCUGAGGAAUUUUUCCUGUAGUGAUUGUUGGAUUUAUAGAAUGAGAAAUUUUAGGAAUUUUUAGUAUGUGCCACUUUGCAUUCAAUACCACAGAAAAUAAACCUCAAAUAUAAGCUCUUGGAAGAACUCAUAUACCUCUUGUGUUCUUGUGUUAACUCUAUGGUGUAAUACUGUAAUCAAACACACUUUGGUGCCACGUCCGUAGGUUUCAAUCCUGCAGGAUUCAGGAAGGUAUGCCAUUGGAAUCCAGCAUUUUUCAUAUAUCUGUGUUUUCAGAAUCCUGCGAAUCAAAGAGGCCCUAAGUUCACGACUCUUUGCGGCAUCUAGCGAGGUGUGUUUCUCACCUUAAAUUUUUGCUCUCUUAGCGUCGAUCAAUCAUAUCCAGUUGGAUGCACACUUGAUGACUACUGGGUGUUGGCACUUCCUUUUCUAGAAGUCCUGGUAGUUCCUAUUUUUGGAACAGAGGUUGCUAUGUUUGCGAUUACUGAAUAAGAGCCUAGAUUACUUUAUGCGUCAACUGUAGUUCUGACAAGGAAAAAAAAAAAUCUGAUAUCACAAUUUGGUGAAAAGACUAUAGCUGAUUUACCAGUUCUGCAACCUUUGUGAGACAGUAUAAAACAAAAACUUUUGUGAGACCAGGUGCCUAGACAUCUUUAUUAGAUGCAUAUUGUUGAUACUUUGCUUUUGAGGUAUUUUUCUGACCUUAAAGGCUUCCUUGAGUGAAAGGAAUUUUCUAGGAUUUCAAUCCGUAGGAAUUUUUUCUAUAGUGGUUGUCUGAUUAGCAGGAUGAGAAAACUUAGGAAUUUCACUGUGGGCCACUUUGUAUUUCCACAGGAACUUUGCAUCAAGUCUAAACACUCUUGGAAGAACUCAUGUACCUCAUGAGCUCUUAUGUUAAACUCUAUUAUGGUGUAAUACUGUAAUCACACACAGUUUGGAGCCGCUUCCUAUGGUUUCCAAUCCUACAGGAUUCAGGAAGGCAUGCCAUUGGAAUCCAGCGUUUUUCCUAUAUCUGCAUCUUCAGGAUCCUGCGAAUCAAAGAGGCCUUAAGUUCAAAACUCUUGCUGGCAUCUAGCGAGGUUUCAGGAAGGCAUGCCAUUGGAAUCCAGCAUUUUUCAUAUAUAUGUGUUUUCAGAGUCCUGUGAAUCAAAGAGGCCCCAAGUUCACAACUCUUUGCGGCAUCUAGCGAGACACAUAGACGGAUCGGCGCCCUUCAUGCCAGAGCCGACUUUGGAGAUGGAGAAGGUUAUUACUGAGUCGGCUUGAGCCCAUGGAUCUGACGAGGGCGUUUCUUCACCUGCUGGUUGUUUCUUCUCCUCAAGACCCGGCUUCCGUCUUUGCGCGGCGGUCUGUUCGCGGUGGAAGGCUUCAUUGACUUCAAGCUGGGCUUGUCCUCUAGCCUUCAGAUUUUUGCUGCUUGUCUGAUUGUUGUUUGUUACUCCCCCUGUAAACAAAUAUAAGAGCGUUUAGAUCACUACUUUAGUGAUCUAAACGCUCUUAUUUUUCUUUACGGAAGGAGUACUAGCAGUUUGCACAACACUUCGUAUCUUUUGGCCGUCAUGUUUGCUUCUUCGUAAGUUGUUGGUCGUUGUAAACCUGGCUGGUUGAUGGCUUUGUUAAUUUAUAGCUGAGCUCAUCUCGAGCCUCUGUUCUAAAAAAAUGCUGGUAUUAUACACUUGUGAAGUUGGGUCUUUUAUUGUACUGUAUACCCUCUAAAGAUCUUGGCUUUGUUAUA